This 1026-nucleotide long non-coding RNA is filed under the name Homo sapiens (human). Its description in RNAcentral is "HSALNT0309991". Lineage: Eukaryota; Metazoa; Chordata; Mammalia; Primates; Hominidae. The record is from RNAcentral.
AGUGAUUCUCCUGCCUCAGCCUCCCGAGUAGCUGGAACUACAGGAUCUCAUCCAGGAUACCACAUUACAUUUAGCAGUCAUGUCUCUUUAGUCGUCUCUUUACUCCGUAUUAUUCCAACACUUCCACUUGUUGAAUCGAUGGCCUAUGUUGCUUCAUUGGGACGGCAGAACCAGGUCUUGACCAUAAAGUAAGUCUUUAAUUCCAGGCUUUUAUAUAUGGGAGAAGAGUAAUUUUUUAAAUCCACAAGAAAUCCUUCACAUAUUAUGAAUAUAUAUGGGGCAUUAUGUCAAACCACAGUGUGAAGGGAGAACAUGCCAUCUGGAGUGGGGGUUUGGAGGCACCGGGAAAUGCCUCUGCUUUGAGGAGUCGUCGUCCAGGAUUUGAGAGAGAUUUAAAGUUUAUUGUUCUAGAGAAGGCUUUCAUUACCCAAGAUUUCCCCUUCCCCAGGCUCUUAGCCACAGAAGAAGGGGCGAGGAGGCAGCAAGGUGAGUGAGUUGAUAGGAAAGGGCUGAAGGAAAAUGCUUGAAAAUACUGUCAGGGCUCUGGUUGCUUGAGCCUUGCCUCCCACUACUCCACCAGCAGAGAGCAGCAGAAGAGAAGCAAUGGAAUGGGAAGAGCUCCUCUAUAACUUGUGGAGGGGUUCAUUUCUCAUAGGUGCCAUGGGUUCUGCAACCAGCAACACCUGGGAAAGCAGCAUCUUAUUCUAAGUCAGAGAGAGGCUGAGUCCACUUGCCAUGUCCAAGUGGGGCACCUUUGUUCUCACUCGCAGAAAUAUAUAGUAUGAGCCUGUAGUGCCAUAGAUGGUAGAUGAAGAUGGUCUCUACAGACAUUGGUCAGUGUUAGCUCUCCUCAGCAGGUAUAUGGCAGAAACAGUCAGCAGACGUAUGGUGGAAACUCAGAAAGGACAGGAUCAAUACACAGAAGGUAGUGGGGAAUGAAGAAUAGGGCUGACUGGGGACAGUGGUUCAUGCCUGUAAUCCCAGCACUUUGGGACGCCAAGGCGGGAGGAAUGCUUGAGCCCAAAA